UACGUAGGGUGCGAGCGUUGUCCGGAAUUACUGGGCGUAAAGAGCUCGUAGGCGGUUUGUCGCGUUGUCCGUGAAAACUCACAGCUCAACUGUGGGCGUGCGGGCGAUACGGGCAGACUGGAGUGCUGCAGGGGAGACUGGAAUUCCUGGUGUAGCGGUGGAAUGCGCAGAUAUCAGGAGGAACACCGGUGGCGAAGGCGGGUCUCUGGACAGUUCCUGACGCUGAGGCACGAAGGUCAGGGGAGCAAACGGG
Molecule: ribosomal RNA, 253 nt
Filed under: uncultured bacterium
Lineage: Bacteria
Description: partial 16S ribosomal RNA
Rfam family: Bacterial small subunit ribosomal RNA
Source: RNAcentral